This 467-nucleotide ribosomal RNA is filed under the name uncultured bacterium. RNAcentral's name for it is "partial 16S ribosomal RNA". It matches the Rfam family "Bacterial small subunit ribosomal RNA", at positions 29 to 507 of the family's 1533-position model. The record is from RNAcentral.
ACGCACGCUGGCGGCGUGCUUAACCCAUGCAAGUCGAACGGAAAGGCCCUGCUUUUGUGGGGUGCUCGAGUGGCGAACGGGUGAGUAACACGUGAGUAACCUGCCCUUGACUUUGGGAUAACUUCAGGAAACUGGGGCUAAUACCGGAUAGGAGCUCCUGCUGCAUGGUGGGGGUUGGAAAGUUUCGGCGGUUGGGGAUGGACUCGCGGCUUAUCAGCUUGUUGGUGGGGUAGUGGCUUACCAAGGCUUUGACGGGUAGCCGGCCUGAGAGGGUGACCGGCCACAGUGGGACUGAGAUACGGCCCAGACUCCUACGGGAGGCAGCAGUGGGGAAUAUUGCACAAUGGGCGGAAGCCUGAUGCAGCAACGCCGCGUGCGGGAUGACGGCCUUCGGGUUGUAAACCGCUUUCGCCUGUGACGAAGCGUGAGUGACGGUAAUGGGUAAAGAAGCACCGGCUAACUACGUG